This is an RNA transcript of Symsagittifera roscoffensis, 1496 nucleotides long. It is a transcript of the gene named lysophospholipase D GDPD1-like, with no coding region annotated. The transcript is spliced from 7 exons. Lineage: Eukaryota; Metazoa; Xenacoelomorpha; Acoela; Convolutidae. The record is from RefSeq and is a predicted model, not a curated record.
UUGAAUUGGAUCUAUUGAGCCGCAGCAAAUGUUGUGUCGAAUACGGUGACAUCAGUUGACACUUAGUAUAAGUAUUAAUCACAACAAGAACAACGCAGUCAACAAAGUAGAAACAUGGUAUCACUAGCAGUUGAGGUCACGCUCGGAGUAUUCUGUGCUUACUUUCUGGUGUCCACAAUUGUCUACUUCUUCCCUGCCAUUCUCCACAAGAGGAAGAGGAGUGGUGCUCUAGGGAGGAAAGGUAUGACUAUUGCACACAGAGGGGGCAGUUGUGAGUUCCUGGAAAACACAAUGACUGCCUUCAGGAAUGCGGUCAAAGUGGGAGCAGAUGUCAUCGAAUUAGAUGUGCAACUGACCAAGGAUAAGAAAGUGGUGGUUUGUCACGACAACAACCUAGAGCGGCUCACGGGAGAGAAGAAACUCAUCAACCAGACAUGUUACAGUGAUCUGCCCAAAAUAACGAGUCCACAGAUGAUGAUAUUCCCGCAAGAGUGUGUUGUGGAUCAUCAUGACCGACAGAUUCCUCUUUUGGAAGAGGUGUUCGAGGAGUUCCCGCACACCACCAUUAAUCUAGACGUGAAAGAACAAGAUGCCAGUCUAAGGACCCAGGUGGAGUUUCUGAUUCGCAAGUUUGGCCGUGAGAACUUGACAGUGUGGGGCAGUUGGCAUGACUCAGUGUGCAAACAGCUGUUCAAACUCAAUCCCAACAUACCUCUCAUCAUGUCCAUGCGCAAGAUAGUGAUACACGCGUUCAUCUUCUGGACGGGUCUGUUGCCAUUCAUUCCGAUCAAGGAGACCUUCUAUGAGCCUCCUGCGUGCAAGGCCAUGUUUGCCAAUCAAGACACCACACUCACUCGCAAAUUGGUCAUCUACUUUGUUGACUUCAUUGUUGGAAACUGGCUUCUGAUCUACCACUAUAAGCGACGUGGUAUAGUGUGCUGGUGCUGGAUAGUGAAUGAACAAUCACACUUCAAAUGCUGCUUCGACAAGUUUGACGGAGUUAUGACUGACCGCAUAUCUGCCCUGGUGCAAUACGUGGCCAGUAGUGAAGACUUGAAGAACAAACAGCAGACAAGCAUGAGCAGAAGUUGCAGUUAUAGUUGUAAUAUGAGUAGAAAGAUGUCGAGCAAGGAGGUCCUUAAUGGGAUCGCAGUUGGAAAAGAGGCCAAGGAUAACUGCCCCAAGUCUGAAUAGCUUUCAUUAUAUAAAAAAGCAUAUUCUUUAACAUUUUCAAUCGCCUCGACCAUGUUCAAAAAUUCACGAGAAUGUAAAUAGUUGCGGAUUCAAUCUGAAAUGGAUUUCGAAUGCUAACAACUGAACCCAAAAGGUCAUACGAAAAAGUAAAGCUGAUGAAUGAAUAUCAAGCAAAGGUCUAUUUUCCAGGAUAAGGUCUGAUGUCGACAGGUCUGGAACCAAGAAAUGGUGCUCUAUCACUCUGCAGAGGCGAUCUUCAUCAUCUGUUUGCUCGGCUACCGGCGAUUCUGCUCUGAACGACU